GGUCGUAUAGUGUAGUGGUUAUCACUCGGGAUUUUGACUGAUUCAAAACUUCCCGAAACCCAGGUUCGAACCCUGGUACGACCU
Non-coding RNA from Gyrodon lividus, 84 nucleotides. Lineage: Eukaryota; Fungi; Basidiomycota; Agaricomycetes; Boletales; Gyrodontaceae. The record is from the annotation of a GenBank genome assembly.